UUGUUUGGAGAGUUUGAUCCUGGCUCAGGACGAACGCUGGCGGCGUGCUUAACACAUGCAAGUCGAGCGGAAAGGCCCUUCG
Molecule: ribosomal RNA, 82 nt
Filed under: Amycolatopsis echigonensis
Lineage: Bacteria; Bacillati; Actinomycetota; Actinomycetes; Pseudonocardiales; Pseudonocardiaceae
Description: Microbispora sp. NEAU-HEGS1-5 partial 16S ribosomal RNA
Rfam family: Bacterial small subunit ribosomal RNA
Source: RNAcentral